RNAcentral lists this ribosomal RNA (1015 nucleotides) under Pestalotiopsis heterocornis. RNAcentral's name for it is "SSU rRNA". It matches the Rfam family "Eukaryotic small subunit ribosomal RNA", at positions 72 to 1097 of the family's 1831-position model. Lineage: Eukaryota; Fungi; Ascomycota; Sordariomycetes; Amphisphaeriales; Sporocadaceae. The record is from RNAcentral.
CAUUAUACAGCGAAACUGCGAAUGGCUCAUUAAAUCAGUUAUCGUUUAUUUGAUAGUACCUUACUACUUGGAUAACCGUGGUAAUUCUAGAGCUAAUACAUGCUAAAAACCCCGACUCACGAAGGGGUGUAUUUAUUAGAUUAAAAACCAAUGCCCUUCGGGGCUCUUUGGUGAUUCAUAAUAACUUUUCGAAUCGCAUGGCCUUGCGCCGGCGAUGGUUCAUUCAAAUUUCUGCCCUAUCAACUUUCGAUGGCAGGGUCUUGGCCUGCCAUGGUUACAACGGGUAACGGAGGGUUAGGGCUCGACCCCGGAGAAGGAGCCUGAGAAACGGCUACUACAUCCAAGGAAGGCAGCAGGCGCGCAAAUUACCCAAUCCCGAUUCGGGGAGGUAGUGACAAUAAAUACUGAUACAGGGCUCUUUUGGGUCUUGUAAUUGGAAUGAGUACAAUUUAAAUCCCUUAACGAGGAACAAUUGGAGGGCAAGUCUGGUGCCAGCAGCCGCGGUAAUUCCAGCUCCAAUAGCGUAUAUUAAAGUUGUUGCAGUUAAAAAGCUCGUAGUUGAACCUUGGGCCUGGCUGGCCGGUCCGCCUCACCGCGUGCACUGGUUCGGCCGGGCCUUUCCCUCUGGGGAACCUCAUGGUCUUCACUGAUCGUGAUGGGGAACCAGGACUUUUACUGUGAAAAAAUUAGAGUGUUCAAAGCAGGCCUAUGCUCGAAUACAUUAGCAUGGAAUAAUAAAAUAGGACGUGUGGUUCUAUUUUGUUGGUUUCUAGGACCGCCGUAAUGAUUAAUAGGGACAGUCGGGGGCAUCAGUAUUCAAUUGUCAGAGGUGAAAUUCUUGGAUUUAUUGAAGACUAACUACUGCGAAAGCAUUUGCCAAGGAUGUUUUCAUUAAUCAGGAACGAAAGUUAGGGGAUCGAAGACGAUCAGAUACCGUCGUAGUCUUAACCAUAAACUAUGCCGACUAGGGAUCGGACGGUGUUACUUAUUGACCCGUUCGGCACCUUACGAGAAA